This 495-nucleotide ribosomal RNA is filed under the name uncultured bacterium. Its description in RNAcentral is "partial 16S ribosomal RNA". It matches the Rfam family "Bacterial small subunit ribosomal RNA", at positions 28 to 507 of the family's 1533-position model. The record is from RNAcentral.
GACGAACGCUGGCGGCGUGCCUAAUACAUGCAAGUCGAACGCUGAAGGAGGAGCUUGCUUCUCUGGAUGAGUUGCGAACGGGUGAGUAACGCGUAGGUAACCUGCCUGGUAGCGGGGGAUAACUAUUGGAAACGAUAGCUAAUACCGCAUAAGAGUAGAUGUCGCAUGACAUUUGCUUAAAAGGUUCAAUUGCAUCACUACUAGAUGGACCUGCGUUGUAUUAGCUAGUUGGUGAGGUAACGGCUCACCAAGGCAACGAUACAUAGCCGACCUGAGAGGGUGAUCGGCCACACUGGGACUGAGACACGGCCCAGACUCCUACGGGAGGCAGCAGUAGGGAAUCUUCGGCAAUGGACGGAAGUCUGACCGAGCAACGCCGCGUGAGUGAAGAAGGUUUUCGGAUCGUAAAGCUCUGUUGUAAGAGAAGAACGAGUGUGAGAGUGGAAAGUUCACACUGUGACGGUAUCUUACCAGAAAGGGACGGCUAACUACGUG